RNAcentral lists this ribosomal RNA (300 nucleotides) under Shigella flexneri. Its description in RNAcentral is "partial 16S ribosomal RNA". It matches the Rfam family "Bacterial small subunit ribosomal RNA", at positions 1231 to 1530 of the family's 1533-position model. RNAcentral also lists the same sequence under 1 other name. The record is from RNAcentral. Lineage: Bacteria; Pseudomonadati; Pseudomonadota; Gammaproteobacteria; Enterobacterales; Enterobacteriaceae.
UGGCGCAUACAAAGAGAAGCGACCUCGCGAGAGCAAGCGGACCUCAUAAAGUGCGUCGUAGUCCGGAUUGGAGUCUGCAACUCGACUCCAUGAAGUCGGAAUCGCUAGUAAUCGUGGAUCAGAAUGCCACGGUGAAUACGUUCCCGGGCCUUGUACACACCGCCCGUCACACCAUGGGAGUGGGUUGCAAAAGAAGUAGGUAGCUUAACCUUCGGGAGGGCGCUUACCACUUUGUGAUUCAUGACUGGGGUGAAGUCGUAACAAGGUAACCGUAGGGGAACCUGCGGUUGGAUCACCUCC